UAAUGAAAGCCAGGAAAGAACACAUUACACAGUGUUUCUUCUGAGAACUAGCUAGCCUCCAGUGAUUGAAAUCAAUAAAAACAGUCGGCAUGGGGCCCAGUGGGGGAAGAGAGAAAUCUCUACUACAGCAUUCAGUUUGCUUUCCACUUUCUCCGUCUUCCUAAAGUUAAACUUUGAACACCGAGACAAACUACAUUUUCAGCACUCAGACGAUUUUGAGAGGGAUGGUGGGAAGAUAAUGUUUUAAUUUUCCUUCUGCUUUCUAUGCUCCUUCUGCUCUCUUACGGAGUUCAGAAAAUGAAAGAGUUGUUUUUAAUUUGAAUCCUGCCUGGAAAAACUUCUAUGGACAAGUGCAUCAUCCUACACUUCAGAAAAGGGAUGAAUUUUACAGUGAAAGGAUGUUAAGUGGUGAAAGAGAAAAGAAAAAAUGGAAUCUUAUUCAGCAAAAAGUACACUCACUGGCUAGAACGUCAACCACUGCUGUGAAAGCUUCUGAAACUGCAUUCAAAAGAGUAAGACCAUUGCAAUACACAGUCUAACGCAGCUGAAACUUAUAAAAAUACAUGCUCAACGCAAAAGACAGGAUCACAAGGAAAACAGUGGAGAAAUGAGACAUCGGAGGUUUUGCUGAACUUAUUCUGAAAACGGUUCCAAUACCAGCAAAAUGUUUCUGUCUGCGAUCAAGAAACCCAUUUGCUACAGCCUCAAACAACAGGGUCGUGCUUACCGGAGAAACAAGACAGCCCUUUUCAGUCUACUUCCUUUCUCUGAAAUGUUACUUACCAACUGUGUUUGGACCUUGAAGUACAAAGGAGUGUGCAACAUGAACUGAAGAAAAGCUGGUAACCAGAAGAGAAG
RNAcentral lists this long non-coding RNA (858 nucleotides) under Gopherus agassizii (Agassiz's desert tortoise). Its description in RNAcentral is "lncRNA (ENSGAGG00000015637.1)". The record is from RNAcentral. Lineage: Eukaryota; Metazoa; Chordata; Testudines; Testudinidae.